AGAAGCUUCAGCUAUAUCUGAUAAGACGAUUCUCAGGACUGUUAUGCUUCAAGAAGAGGAACAAAUGAGGGUGUCCUGCAAAUCUCUCCAUGGUUGAAGUUGACCAUCUUCCAUCUUCCAGGUGAUGUAGAAGAGAGAGGAAUAUUAAUAACAAUGAUAAGGAUAUUGACUACACAGCUUCUUUUUUGAGGAACUCAACUUCAUCCAACUUGAUGUUUUAGUUAGUAAACACCACUCAGCAACUACCAGCAGG
Mus caroli (Ryukyu mouse) is the source of this 253-nucleotide non-coding RNA. The record is from RefSeq and is a predicted model, not a curated record. NCBI's taxonomy places the organism in Eukaryota, Metazoa, Chordata, Mammalia, Rodentia, Muridae.